CCGAAGUUGCCUGCUUUCUCCUGGACAGGACAAUGGGACUAACAGACACAGCUCCGGCUGCCGUGGAGGUCAUCACGCCACUGAUCUACUGGCAUUUCUUUAAUGUGAUGCCCAGCCGAUGUCAGACCAACGACCACCAGCUACCCCCAUCUACUCUACUUAUCCAUGUUUUUUGCCUCUCCUAGGACUUUUUGCCCACAUGUUUUUCUCCUAGGGUUUUUUCAACCCCUGGUGAGUCUGCUGAAAUUGGCUUAACUUAACCCCCU
Long non-coding RNA from Paramisgurnus dabryanus, 266 nucleotides. RefSeq lists it as uncharacterized. Lineage: Eukaryota; Metazoa; Chordata; Actinopteri; Cypriniformes; Cobitidae. The record is from RefSeq and is a predicted model, not a curated record.